This 406-nucleotide ribosomal RNA is filed under the name uncultured bacterium. RNAcentral's name for it is "partial 16S ribosomal RNA". It matches the Rfam family "Bacterial small subunit ribosomal RNA", at positions 30 to 526 of the family's 1533-position model. The record is from RNAcentral.
AUUGAACGCUGGCGGCAGGCCUAACACAUGCAAGUCGAACGAGCGGCGGACGGGUGAGUAAUGUCUGGGAAACUGCCUGACGGAGGGGGAUAACUACUGGAAAAGGUAGCUAAUACCGCUUACCAUCAUUUGUGCCCAGAUGGGAUUAGCGUGUUGGUGGGGUAACGGCUCACCAAGGCGACGAUCCAUAGCUGGUCUGAGAGGAUGACCAGCCACACGGGAACGGAGACACGGUCCAGACUCCUACGGGAGGCAGCAGUGGGGAAUAUUGCACAAUGGGCGCAAGCCUGAUGCAGCCAGGCCGCGUGUGUGAAGAAGGCCUUCGGGUUGUAAAGUACUUUCAGCGGGGAGGCGUUACCCGCAGAAGAAGCACCGGCUAACUCCGUGCCAGCAGCCGCGGUAAUUC